RNAcentral lists this ribosomal RNA (447 nucleotides) under Triticum aestivum (bread wheat). RNAcentral's name for it is "partial small subunit ribosomal RNA". The record is from RNAcentral. Lineage: Eukaryota; Viridiplantae; Streptophyta; Magnoliopsida; Poales; Poaceae.
AUGCGUCCGCCCCGUUCCAACCUGCCUCUUUUCUCUCUCUCUCUCUCUCUCUCUCUCUCUCUCUCUCUCUCUCUCGCAGACCCACUCCACCCGCGGUGGCGUGCCAUCCGCCUCCGCACCAUCUUCCCCGGACACGCCUUCGCCUCGGCCGAAGCAGGAGUGGAGAUGGCAGUGAUUGCCGCUGUAGCUAACAGCAUCCGCAUACCCUUGUGGAGAUUAUUUGGGGGAGCAUCAAACACUGUGACAACAGACAUCACGGGACGUUUCAAAAAAAAACCAGACAUCACGAUUCCAAUUGUGACCCGAAAUGAAGCCGCUCAAUUGGCUGCAAAAUAUCAAGGACAAGGGUUUCAGACUCUGAAGCUCAAAGUAGGGAAAAACUUGAACUCAGACAUAGAAGUUCUGAAGGCUAUACGGCGACUGCUCAUUUAUCUUGGAUGCAAAUGA